GGUUAAGUGACUAAGCGUACACGGUGGAUGCCUUGGCAGUCAGAGGCGAUGAAGGACGUAGUAACUUGCGAUAAGCGUAGAUGAGGCAGUAACAGCCACUUGAGUCUACGAUUUCCGAAUGGGGAAACCCACUGGCAUAAGCCAGUAUCAUUGAGUGAAUACAUAGCUCAAUGAAGCGAACCGGGAGAACUGAAACAUCUAAGUACCCCGAGGAAAAGAAAUCAACCGAGAUUCCGAAAGUAGCGGCGAGCGAAAUUGGAUUAGCCC
This 267-nucleotide ribosomal RNA is filed under the name Vibrio vulnificus. RNAcentral describes it as "partial 23S ribosomal RNA". It matches the Rfam family "Bacterial large subunit ribosomal RNA", at positions 1 to 270 of the family's 2925-position model. The record is from RNAcentral. Lineage: Bacteria; Pseudomonadati; Pseudomonadota; Gammaproteobacteria; Vibrionales; Vibrionaceae.